Molecule: ribosomal RNA, 524 nt
Filed under: uncultured bacterium
Lineage: Bacteria
Description: bacterial SSU rRNA
Rfam family: Bacterial small subunit ribosomal RNA
Source: RNAcentral
UGGGGAAUAUUGGACAAUGGACCGAGAGUCUGAUCCAGCAAUUCUGUGUGCACGAUGAAGUUUUUCGGAAUGUAAAGUGCUUUCAGUUGGGAAGAAAGAAAUGACGGUAUCAACAGAAGAAGUGACGGCUAAAUACGUGCCAGCAGCCGCGGUAAUACGUAUGUCACGAGCGUUAUCCGGAUUUAUUGGGCGUAAAGCGCGUCUAGGUGGUUAUGUAAGUCUGAUGUGAAAAUGCAGGGCUCAACUCUGUAUUGCGUUGGAAACUGUAUAACUAGAGUACUGGAGAGGUAAGCGGAACUACAAGUGUAGAGGUGAAAUUCGUAGAUAUUUGUAGGAAUGCCGAUGGGGAAGCCAGCUUACUGGACAGAUACUGACGCUAAAGCGCGAAAGCGUGGGUAGCAAACAGGAUUAGAUACCCUGGUAGUCCACGCUGUAAACGAUGAUUACUAGGUGUUGGGGGUCGAACCUCAGCGCCCAAGCAAACGCGAUAAGUAAUCCGCCUGGGGAGUACGUACGCAAGUAUG